GACGAACGCUGGCGGCGUGCUUAACACAUGCAAGUCGAACGGAAAGGCCCUGCUUUUGUGGGGUGCUCGAGUGGCGAACGGGUGAGUAACACGUGAGUAACCUGCCCUUGACUUUGGGAUAACUUCAGGAAACUGGGGCUAAUACCGGAUAGGAGCUCCUGCUGCAUGGUGGGGGUUGGAAAGUUUCGGCGGUUGGGGAUGGACUCGGGGCUUAUCAGCUUGUUGGUGGGGUAGUGGCUUACCAAGGCUUUGACGGGUAGCCGGCCUGAGAGGGUGACCGGCCACAUUGGGACUGAGAUACGGCCCAGACUCCUACGGGGGGCAGCAGUGGGGAAUAUUGCACAAUGGGCGGAAGCCUGAUGCAGCAACGCCGCGUGCGGGAUGACGGCCUUCGGGUUGUAAACCGCUUUCGCCUGUGACGAAGCGUGAGUGACGGUAAUGGGUAAAGAAGCACCGGCUAACUACGUG
This 468-nucleotide ribosomal RNA is filed under the name uncultured bacterium. RNAcentral's name for it is "partial 16S ribosomal RNA". It matches the Rfam family "Bacterial small subunit ribosomal RNA", at positions 28 to 507 of the family's 1533-position model. The record is from RNAcentral.